GCUCAAGAGGAGGCCCCAAGACCUGAUACCAUUACUGAAGCUAUGGGCCGUUCACAAAAAAGGACCUAUCAUGACUGCUCUCCAAAAGACCCAACAAGCAGCUGAAAGAGUCAGAUUCAGAUAUGUGCACCGAACCAAUGAACAGAAGUUGCUGACCCCUCUGGUUGAAUUAGGGGAAAGCUGGAGGAGGAAGCUAAGGAAGAGGGCAACUCUGUAGGAGGACCAGCAGUCUCAAUUAACCUGGAUCCCUGAGAUCUCUCCAACACUGGAUUACCAAGCAGACAGCAUGAGGCCCCCAAUCCAUGUACAGUAGAGGAUUCCCAGGUCUGGGUUCAGUCAGAGAAGAUGCACCUAUCACUCAAGAGACUGAAGGCAAAAGGAAGUUUAAAGGUCUGGUGGGUAGGUAGGGUGGGGACAUCCUUGUGGACACAAGGGAGGGGAAGGGGUGCGGUGGGCAGGAUGGAGGUAUGGGAUGUGGAACCCUAGGGGUGGGGGUAGACCCGGAGGGGAAUAAAAUCUUGAGUUGUAAAAAGAAAGAAAGAAAAAAA
This 548-nucleotide long non-coding RNA is filed under the name Rattus norvegicus (Norway rat). Its description in RNAcentral is "long non-coding RNA NONRATT018128". Lineage: Eukaryota; Metazoa; Chordata; Mammalia; Rodentia; Muridae. The record is from RNAcentral.